UACGUAGGUGACAAGCGUUGUCCGGAUUUACUGGGCGUAAAGAGCGCGCAGGCGGUCGUUCAAGUCGAGUGUGAAAGCCCCCGGCUCAACUGGGGAGGGUCAUUCGAUACUGAUCGACUCGAAGGCAGGAGAGGGUAGUGGAAUUCCCGGUGUAGUGGUGAAAUGCGUAGAUAUCGGGAGAAACACCAGUGGCGAAGGCGACUACCUGGCCUGUUCUUGACGCUGAGGCGCGAAAGCUAGGGGAGCAAACGGG
This 253-nucleotide ribosomal RNA is filed under the name uncultured bacterium. RNAcentral describes it as "partial 16S ribosomal RNA". It matches the Rfam family "Bacterial small subunit ribosomal RNA", at positions 524 to 776 of the family's 1533-position model. The record is from RNAcentral.